This is a long non-coding RNA of Helianthus annuus (common sunflower), 457 nucleotides long. RefSeq lists it as uncharacterized. NCBI's taxonomy places the organism in Eukaryota, Viridiplantae, Streptophyta, Magnoliopsida, Asterales, Asteraceae. The transcript has 3 exons. The record is from RefSeq and is a predicted model, not a curated record.
CACACUUAGGUGUGUGUUCUGGUCGUGAAUUCCACAGGAGCCAAAGGAGUUCUUGAGCUCAAACCCUAACUAACACAAAUCAAUCAAAUUGAAAGGGCAAAUCAAGUUUAAAUCGAAAACCAAGUUGAAAUUAGUGAUCACUCAAGUGAACGGAUCACAAGGGGAAUUGAAUCUUCAAGCGGACAAGCCGGAGCGGACGCGCGCUUGAAGGAAAAGCUUUGAAGGUGAUCGUAGUAAGCAUUCGGAUGAUGAUCAAGCAAUGAACAAGAACCGAACACAUGUCCGAACAAAGCUUCCGUGUUGAUCUAUUUUGUUUUAGUUAAAAGUGAACCUUGUAAACACUUAGCACUAUAUUUUGAAUGUUUCAAACAUGUGUGAAUUUUAACUUGACAAAGUUUUUUGUAAAGUCGCAUUUUAGUAUAAAAUGCGUAUUUAAUGUUAUAAUCAUGUUAAUUUA